GAGGGACUCAGUCCCUACCUAGACUCCUUGCCCAGCAGGCCCUGGGCUGCUCACCCCACCAAGGGCAUGUGUGGGUGAUUGCCUGGGGGGGAUGGCCCUCCUGAUGUGAAGAGUGGGAUGUUAUCCACCGCCUAAGGGUCCUGGCACCAGGUGCCUGCUUCCCAGCUCAGGGCUUCCCAGAGAAAAUGUAUUUUCCGAGGACCAUGCCCUACUGCGGGGGCCAGCACCCUCAUGGUCACAGAGCCACACACAUCAGCGCCAUUAUGCUUUAUUCAACUCUGUUCUCAUAUCUGGUUUUGCCUUGAGCCCAUGACCUUCACCCACUUUUCCUACAGCGUUCUGCCUCCCAACUUGCACCAGGGCCCGCAGCCUGCCCGCCCUAUCCUUGCAGCCUUAACUUAAACCAACUGACUGUGGACACCCCUUUUCCCUGCGCUGUACUCCCACCAGACCAGGAGCCCUCUGAGUGAGGGGUCUGAUUGUAGAAUCAACUUGUUCUUUGUAGUUCCCAGUGUGGAUGUUGUUUUUAACAUACAUCAAAUUUAAUCUUCCUUAAACCUGUGUCACAAGAAAACAGGAGACAGUAAUCCUGCCAUCAGGGGCUCUUGGGAAAUGUAAGUGAGAUGAAGGUUGACAUACCUACACCUUUAGGAGGUGGAUAUUCUUGUUAUCUGUAUUUCACAGAUAAGCACAUUGGGGCUCAGAGAAGCUUGAUGAGUUGUCCAAGGUCACACAGCAGAGAAAUGGAAGGGCUGCAAUUCGAAUGAAUGCUCCCCUAACGGUUCCACUCUCCAGCUUUGGGGGAUGUGUGGUUUGGUUGGAAGUAGGGAUAUGGAAGUCAUGUUGUGGAGUCAGGAAAGGCUUCUUUGCCUGCUUAACUUGAAGCAGGCAGUCCGGCAGGAUGUCAGAAAGGAGAAAUAGUGGGAAGAGGCAUGCCUGAUGUCAGGGGACUCUUCGGGAGAAGACACGGCUUUGUCCUCGCCUGAUGCAUUCUGGGAGAGGAGGCAACCUCAGGCACAGGAACGGCAGUGUGAGGUCUGGUAGAGAAGCGCAUAGUGGUGAAGGAGGCCUGAGAUCACAGGGUCUGAAGGUAGGACAGCCAUGGGAGAUGGGUGGUGGCGGUGAUUCCAUCCAGCCCCCUACUCUUCACACCCUGGUCUCCAAGGCAGGGAUGGAGAAUGCCACCUGCCACCCUCUUCACACCUGGGCUGGGGCCCGGCCCAUAGACAGCCCUAGGCUUCAGCCACCUCUGCCCCCUGGCCCAGCAGCAGACCCAGCUGGCUCACCUUCUCAAUCAAUACCGCGCUCUUAAUGGGCCCAGCCACCAGCACCAACCAGGGGCAUUAAAUGUUAAUUAUAUCUAUUUGGAUUUGAAAAAUUUUAUUACUCCAGUUAAUUAUGGCUGGAGUCAUAAAAAGGUUUCAGAGUGAAAAGGCUGCCUUAUUGGGGCCACUUUCCCCAAGACAGAUUGGAAAGGAAAAGAAGAAAUAAAAGCAUCUGGCUCAAAGGCCCGGGUGCUCCACAUCCACCAGGCUGGGAGCCCUGGGCUCGGGCCUUGCAUCUUCCAGCUUCAGGUGAGCUUGAAGUGUGGGGCCCAGGAUACUGGAGAGGCCAAUCUUGGGAGGACACCCACGUGUGUGAGUGUUGCUGUCAAUAGAGAAAGGCCCCCUGGCAGCGGAGGCUCCAGGGAAACUGCAACCCUGCUGAGAUCAGCCAGACUCUUUGAGGUCUGGGAAUGCUGGCUAUGCCCAGGGUUCCUCUCCAAGUGGUCCUAUUACUGGGCACUCCUCCAGCCCAGCUCCCCGCCCUGGCCUGGCCCCACCCAGCCCAGUCUGAUUGCUUCCUGCCAGCCCCCGCUUAUGAUUCAUGGGCCUGACCUUGGGCUAUAAAGUGUUCACUUUAGCAGGAAUAGAGGCAGGAUUUACAGCCCUAGGGUCAGCUGUAGGCAAUGACACACACAAUAGCUGACUCACAAGGGUGCCCCGUUCCCAUCCUACACAUAACUUUCCUUUGCACACACAGGUACACACACACACAUUUUGACAGAGACACGCGUGCACUCCCAUGUCCCAGAGCUCUCUGCCUCAUGCAUCCGGUAAUGUGAGUUCCCUUUGUGGAGCAAGCGCUGUACAUAAGAUGCUUUACAAGCAUUUGUCUAAUCCUUAACAUUGAUCCCGUAAGGUCGGAGCUGGUAUUACUCAUUUUAUAGGAGAGGAUGCACAUUAAGGCUCAGACGGGUUAUGUGAUCUGAGCAUUUGUACCUACAAGAGUACCUACAAGUUGGACAGAGAACCUCACGCCCCAAACUCCUAGCUAGGGAAAUAGUGAUUCCAUGGAAGAGCUGGGCUGCAGCAGCCUGGGGUGGGGUCAGAGAGGCCAGCUCAUUCCCUCUCCCUCUUCCCCAUCAGAGGAGUUGGAGGCUGGUUCAGAGGAAGAGUGAAUAUUCCAGAGGAUAUUAGAAGGGGGAAUAAAAAACCAGGAGAGGAACGCCUUAACCCAGAUAUGAGAAUGGGAUGUCGCACUACAUAAACUUUUUAAAACCAGAAGUAAUUGGGAAACAGAGGGAGAAUUUGCCCAUAUUGUUCAAGUUUCAACCAUGCAUCCAAGAAAGGGUAUUUGACAGGGUGUAGUUGGUAGAGAUUGGAGGGGGUGAGCAUUUCAAUUUGUACCUCUCUACUUUGGCUAUUCCAUGAACUGUUUUUAUUAUCAUUAUUGUCAUUUUUACUCUGUUGCUGAGAUGUCCAUGUACAAGAAAUCCUCCCUCCCCCAACUCCUCUUCAGGUCAAAUGCCAUUUGCUUCUACUUGGCUCCUUCCAUCUAUCAGGCCUCAGAGUCUCUGCCUUUUCUCCCAAACCAGCGCCUCUUGUCCUCUAGAGCCAUCCCCUCAGUCUUCAGCAGGGACUUCACCCUCACAUCUACUUCUCUGGCUCUUGUGCAUUGUCCCUAGCUAGUCCUUUCUCUUCUUUUCAAACUCCUGUGUAAUUUCUCUCUUAAAGUAGCCAGCCAGGGACUUCCCUAAUGGUCCAGUGGUUGAGAAUCUGCCUUCCAAUGCAGGGGACGCAGGUUUGAUCCCUGGUUGGGGAACUAAGAUCCUACACACCAUGGGCCAGCUGAGCCCGUGCACCACAACCAGAGAGCCUGCUCGGCGCAACUGCUUAGCCUGCACGAUCUAGGGUCUGUGCUCCGCAACAAGAGAAGACCGUAUUGCAACUAGGGAAAGCCUGUGCCCUCAACCAAGAGCCCACAUGCCGCAAGGAAUACCCAGUGCAGCCAAAACUAAAAAAAAAAUAAUAAUGACCAGGCCUUCCCAUGAUCUUUUUCCCUCUCUAAUUUCUUUCUGUCUUCUCAUCUUCCUCUUGGAAUAAGGGGCUCGUGGGCUCCUUCUCACAGCAUCCUUGUCUCUUCCUCAAGGCUCCGCUCUGUCCUCUCCCUAUCCCUCCCUCCUCUUCAGCAGACGUGACUCCAGUACAUUGUCACCCCUUCCCAGUUCCUCCGACUUGAAGUUCACUCCUGUGCUCUUUGCUCUGGGAGAAUCUAUCUUCUCACGCUUGAGGACUUCAACUUCCCCUCCCAGAUGUGCCUCCAAUUAGAUGUCUAUCCUAAACUCCAUCUGAAUUGUCAACUGCCCAAAGGAGGUAUCUUUGUGGAGGCUCUGCUUUCCCCUCAAAUGAAAUACUCUCUAAGUGGAAAUAAUUAUCUUCUCUUCAAAAUGGCUUCCUUUCCUCCCCUUCAUUUCUAUCUAUUAAAUAACUACUGUUCUGAUCCUCUAGCCUCCCUAAACCCAGAGCAAAUUGAUUCAAUGAACACACUGAGCAAAGAUUUUCCAGGUAAUCACCAUGUGCAAGCUCCAGUAUUUUGGCCACAUGAUGUGAAGAGCCAACUCAUUGGAAAAGACCCUGAUGCUGUGUUUGGAAGAGAGCUGGGUCUACAGAGAAAGGAUCAUUGUCGGAGCCAGGCCUUGGAGGGGACAUGAGUAAAUUGGACCCCAAACACCAGAAGAGGGAACAAUUCCUGCCCAUAAGGGUUAUUCAUCUGUUGGAGGGACAGAUGGGUUAAACAGACAAUGGCAAACUUACUAGGGAAGAACUGAGCUACAGACAGCACCAGCGGCUGGGAAGCCAGGAGAAGGGAAAUGCCCCCUUACAACCAUCUUUGCUUAGAGCCAGUUGGCCUGGAGGGCAGCUCAGUCGGUAAAGAAUCUGCCUGCAAUGCAGGAGACCUGUGUUGGAUCCCUGGGUCUGGAAGAUCCCCUGGAGAAAAGGAAUGAUUACCCACUCCAGUAUUCUUGCCUGGAGAAUUCCAUGGACAGAGGAGGCUGGCAGGCUACAGUCCAUGGGGUUGCAAAGAGUCAGACAUGACUGGGCGACUUUCAUCAUCAUCACCUCCUACUGUAACUGGAAAGGAUGAAAGAUACCGUAUGUGAAGAAAUCAGCAUUAGUCUUCAGUUCAGUGUUAACUAUGCAAUUAUCAUUUUAUUCCGCUUAUGUCAUAAUUUGUUUACUUGUCUAUGUCUCUCACCAUUUAUCCAUUCAUUCAGAAAUCCAAUAAAUCUUCACUGAGAAGUUACCCUGUGUCAGACACAAUUUGGCAUGCGAGGCACACACCUUAAAACACACAAAAAAUCCAGGGAAAUCAGUGCUUGGGGAGGGGAGUGUA
Long non-coding RNA from Dama dama (fallow deer), 4656 nucleotides. RefSeq lists it as uncharacterized. NCBI's taxonomy places the organism in Eukaryota, Metazoa, Chordata, Mammalia, Artiodactyla, Cervidae. The transcript has 3 exons. The record is from RefSeq and is a predicted model, not a curated record.